Molecule: ribosomal RNA, 315 nt
Filed under: Triticum aestivum (bread wheat)
Lineage: Eukaryota; Viridiplantae; Streptophyta; Magnoliopsida; Poales; Poaceae
Description: partial small subunit ribosomal RNA
Source: RNAcentral
AUGUUUCCAUUCAAGUUCAAGAGGAAGCAAUUUCCUGUAAGGCUUAGCUUUGCUAUGACGAUUAACAAGGCUCAAGGACAGACGAUUCCGAUCGUUGGCGUGUACCUACCUAAUCCAGUGUUCUCUCAUGGUCAACUCUAUGUCGCAUUGUCUCGAGCCACCGCGAAGAGAAACAUAAAGAUCCUCAUUGAGAAGGAGAAGGAGAAGGAGAAUGGCAAGAAGCAAAGCAGUAAGUCAAAGAAGCGAAAAAGACCUGCCUUGUCCUUACAGACCUCGAUGAAGAACAUCGUCUAUAAGGAAGUCCUUACAGGCUGA